Molecule: ribosomal RNA, 492 nt
Filed under: uncultured bacterium
Lineage: Bacteria
Description: partial 16S ribosomal RNA
Rfam family: Bacterial small subunit ribosomal RNA
Source: RNAcentral
AGUGAACGCUGGCGGUAGGCCUAACACAUGCAAGUCGAACGGCAGCACAGUAAGAGCUUGCUCUUACGGGUGGCGAGUGGCGGACGGGUGAGGAAUACAUCGGAAUCUACUUUUUCGUGGGGGAUAACGUAGGGAAACUUACGCUAAUACCGCAUACGACCUACGGGUGAAAGCAGGGGAUCUUCGGACCUUGCGCGAUUGAAUGAGCCGAUGUCGGAUUAGCUAGUUGGCGGGGUAAAGGCCCACCAAGGCGACGAUCCGUAGCUGGUCUGAGAGGAUGAUCAGCCACACUGGAACUGAGACACGGUCCCGACUCCUACGGGGGGCAGCAGUGGGGAAUAUUGGACAAUGGGCGCAAGCCUGAUCCAGCCAUACCGCGUGGGUGAAGAAGGCCUUCGGGUUGUAAAGCCCUUUUGUUGGGAAAGAAAAGCAGCAGGUUAAUACCCCGCUGUUCUGACGGUACCCAAAGAAUAAGCACCGGCUAACUUCGUG